AGAACGAACGCUGGCGGCAUGCCUAAUACAUGCAAGUCGAACGAACACUUCGGUGUUAGUGGCGCACAGGUGCGUAACGCGUGGGAAUCUGCCCUUGGGUUCGGAAUAACAGUUGGAAACGACUGCUAAUACCGGAUGAUGACGAAAGUCCAAAGAUUUAUCGCCCAGGGAUGAGCCCGCGUAGGAUUAGCUAGUUGGUGAGGUAAAGGCUCACCAAGGCGACGAUCCUUAGCUGGUCUGAGAGGAUGAUCAGCCACACUGGGACUGAGACACGGCCCAGACUCCUACGGGAGGCAGCAGUAGGGAAUAUGGACAAUGGGCGAAAGCCUAGAUCCAGCAAUGCCGCGUGAGUGAUGAAGGCUUAGGGUUGUAAAGCUUCUUUACCGAGAUGAUAAGUGACAGUAGUCGGAGAAUACGGCCCCGACUAACCUCCGCGACCAGCAGGCCGUAC
RNAcentral lists this ribosomal RNA (451 nucleotides) under uncultured soil bacterium. Its description in RNAcentral is "bacterial SSU rRNA". It matches the Rfam family "Bacterial small subunit ribosomal RNA", at positions 26 to 523 of the family's 1533-position model. The record is from RNAcentral.